This 573-nucleotide ribosomal RNA is filed under the name Tenualosa ilisha (Hilsa shad). RNAcentral's name for it is "partial 16S ribosomal RNA". It matches the Rfam family "Bacterial large subunit ribosomal RNA", at positions 1816 to 2597 of the family's 2925-position model. Lineage: Eukaryota; Metazoa; Chordata; Actinopteri; Clupeiformes; Clupeidae. The record is from RNAcentral.
CGCCUCCUGCCCAUAUUGACCUAUAGGAGGUCCCGCCUGCCCUGUGACCAAAAGUUUAACGGCCGCGGUAUCCUAACCGUGCAAAGGUAGCGCAAUCAAUUGUCUUUUAAAUGGAGACCUGUAUGAAUGGCAUAACGAGGGUCUAACUGUCUCUUUUUUCCAGUCAAUGAAACUGAUCUGCCCGUGCAGAAGCGGGCAUGAGUGCACAAGACGAGAAGACCCUAUGGAGCUUUAGACGCCCACCAGCCAUUGGAAGCAGCCCCACUAAUAGACCUCCAAAUAAGAUGGCCCUGGUAUAAACGUCUUCGGUUGGGGCGACCACGGAGGAAAAUAAAGCCUCCGAGAGGAACAGGGGAAACCCUAAACCAAGAGCCACAGCUCUAAGCAACAGAAUAUUUGACCGAAAUGAUCCGGCCUAUUGCCGACCAGCGGACCGAGUUACCCUAGGGAUAACAGCGCAAUCCUCUCCCAGAGUCCAUAUCGACGAGAGGGUUUACGACCUCGAUGUUGGAUCAGGACAUCCUAAUGGUGCAGCCGCUAUUAAGGGUUCGUUUGUUCAACGAUUAAAGUCCU